AGGAACUGGAUCUACUCUUGUAACUCUGCAUUUCCAUCAUCCAGUUUUGUUAAUAAAUAAUUGACAUACAAACAUUAACGAGUAAUAUCAUCAAUUACAUACUUUGCACAUUAUAAGACAUAACUUUAAGCAAAUAGAUUCAUUAUAAAUAAUUUGACGAUUAGAAGCCAGAAUUCUUAUAUACUCCAGCUUCACAUAUUUCGUGUGGUUAUUCACCAAUAGCUGAGUACUUUUCAUUAGCCUAAAAACAAAAAGGGCCAAAGCUAAAAAAGAAAAGAAAAAAAAAAAACAACAAUAACAAUUACUCUCUCUCCCACUCUCGCUAAUUCUCUCCUUUUCUCUCUUUUUCUUCUCUCUCUCCCUCUUCUCUUCUUCUUCUUCCCUACUCUGCUUCUUUCCCUUGUUCCUCUUCCAUUUCCUUCUCCUUUAAUUCUGGAUUUUGGAGACAUUUGGAACCUUGCUACGCAACAUAGUCUCAUUAUUACUCAAUUUCUGGUGCAUAGAUCAAGGUCUCUUGUUGUUGUAACCCUGUUAUUGCAUAUCCUUGAAUACAUGCAGCUUAGUAUUUUCUGGCUUGUGGGCUACAUGGUUCAUUAACACAGAAGCCAUGGUCGUUUAAAUGGAAACAUUCGAUGUACUCUCAUACUCAUUGUUGUUUAAACUCCAUUAAUCAAGAUGUAUAAAAAGAGAAAAUGAUGAAAUUUGUACUUUGCCUGGCAGUAAAGGGAAUUCAAGCCUUUACAACAUACGGACAAAAUUUUAUAGGAAUUUCAGAAGGAUGAGGUGCCUGAUGAAACAAAGUUUCUAUUUGAUCAACUUGGACAGCAGAAUGAUCUAAGUAGAUAAUAGAGAGGAGCAAAAAUAUAGUGUGUUGUACGUCAUUAACUCUGCAUGAUUUUCUGUAUUUGAUCUCCUCUGUGCUUCUGUCAUCUCAAAAUUUGUUGGACAAUGUGGUUGAGGGUGCCUUGGAAAUUGAAAAUUGGUUUUAUGCUAGGCCGCUAGCAUCUAUAUAUUAUAAAAGGGAAUGGAGAAACUUUCUAAUAUGCUUCUUUUCUUCCCAAAAUUUUCCACUAGGAAGUUGUCUAAUAUGCUAUUCAAAAUUCACUUGCACUCUUCUUUUCCCAUUGUCAGGCUGAAGAGCAAGCAGCUGGACGAGAUGGUGAGUCCAUGAAUGUGGAUGUAUUGGCAAUUUUCCUUUCCAUAGGUGUUUUUAUUGUUUACUUGCUUUUGUGCUUAUU
RNAcentral lists this unclassified non-coding RNA (1238 nucleotides) under Hevea brasiliensis (rubber tree). The record is from RNAcentral. Lineage: Eukaryota; Viridiplantae; Streptophyta; Magnoliopsida; Malpighiales; Euphorbiaceae.